Ahaetulla prasina is the source of this 1062-nucleotide long non-coding RNA. RefSeq lists it as uncharacterized. The record is from RefSeq and is a predicted model, not a curated record. NCBI's taxonomy places the organism in Eukaryota, Metazoa, Chordata, Lepidosauria, Squamata, Colubridae. The transcript has 3 exons.
CAAAAAUAAAACCAGUUGAUGGCUGCAGAGAAGCAGAAGAAAGUUAUACAUAUUGGCAUCUCUCAUACAAAUCCCCCUUGUAUUUUCCUGCCAGCAAAAAAUCUUUAGCAGCUGAGCUGAUUAAUUUCCAACUCAGCUACAACCCAGCAGGAACCACUCCAGCAACAAUGCUGAACUUGGAGUUGUCCCAACUUCUGGUCCUUCCUCUCGCCACAUCAUCAGUUCACCAGGCUGUUUCAACUGAAGCAGAAACGGGCCUGGAAAGAAACCAAAGGCUGGGUUCUUAACAAUCGGCUAGACUGCCAAAAGAUGGUCCUCCCGUUUUACAACCGCCAUAUGUCGAGCACACCAGCUCACUUUGCCCAGAGCUUCACGCCACGAUCGUGGGUAGCAGCAUUGCAAGACGUUGAACCGAGGCGAGUCGGCGAACCGUCCGCAGAAAAACAACAAAACGUGGCUUUUAGCUGCAAGAGGCAAGAACACGUCGAAGCCCUCGGGGUUGUUUUAAUUAAUUUAAAUAGUCGUUUUUGUCAGCGGUCCAGAUCUAAACGCCGCGCGGGUGGGAGGACGUUGCGAAGUACAGAACAUUACAGGCAUCCCUUGUGACUCCCGGUUGCUUUUUCGACAAUAGAAUUGUUUCGCGGGGGAGGGGCAGCGGUAGUGGUGGGAGAAGAAUGGAGACGGCGCCGCGCAGGCGCAGUGCGGGCGGCGGCGUUUGAACGCGAGUUACCUCUCUUUGUCAAGCGAGCCGAGGCAAAAGUAGGUGAAAGUUAACCCGGUGUCGUUGCUCUCCCCGGCUGCGCCGGCAACUGACGCAUGCGCGGAGAGGUUCCCUGAGAAAGGACGGAGGCUCUUCCUUUUUUUUUUAUUUUUGCAGGAAAGGCUUUCGCCUGAGGCGCUGAAACGGUGACACAGGACGCGCCAAGCAAAAAAGUCCCAGGUUUCGCUUGGGACAGAGAAGGUCAUCUGACCCGCGACGUGGCGAGGAGCGGAGCACGGGGACACACGCAGCCACGGGUAACCACGAAUCCACGAUGAUCUGUGGUUACCCAAGAUGAAAGG